This is a long non-coding RNA of Poecilia reticulata (guppy), 6747 nucleotides long. RefSeq lists it as uncharacterized. The record is from RefSeq and is a predicted model, not a curated record. NCBI's taxonomy places the organism in Eukaryota, Metazoa, Chordata, Actinopteri, Cyprinodontiformes, Poeciliidae.
GGAGAGAGUGAGCUGCAUGACUCAGAGCUCAGCAGCGAGGAGACACUGUAUUCUGCAUGCAAGAGGAGCAGCAGAGGCAGUGCUAAAGGAUCGCUAAGGAGGAAUAUGGAGCAAACACAGAAGGGGCUGGAGCAGAAGUAAGCUGUCACCGGACAGGCAAAGGACGGCGUGAGGAUGGAGGCUGCCGUGCUGGCAGGCAGUGAGGAAUAGGCCAAGUGAAUCAGCUUGCUGGAGGGUGAGUUUAGGAACUUAAGUGUUUAGUAUGACUGAAGGUGGCUGAGGGAAGGUUGAGUGAAGGUUUGCAGCAAGGACUGUGGAUGGGGAGCUUCAAAGGUCAAGAGGGCUGUGUUAAUGAACGAUUGCUUCAUUUCCCACUGGAGAAGUCCAGAGUAACUAUCUCCCAGCUUAAGGGAGAAGGCAAACCAGAGGUCUGCAAAUGAGACAGAAAGCUUUUUUAAGACUGACCACGGGAGACAAAGGUGGAGAAAAAGUGACAUAAGCCACACCAAACUUAACGAUUUAAUAAAAAAAAAUGCAGAAACAGUUGAAAAAAAAGGAGGAUUAUUCAUCAUGAAGACCGGAAAUCUCAACUGUGAUACAAAUAUGUCACAAGGUACCUGCUAAAGAUUUUUGACAAGCCAAUCUGGAAAGAACUUGUGCAACUGCUUUUUUUUUAUUCUACUGGAUUUUUAAAGCUCAGACAACCUGCGUCACACGAUGGCCAUAAAGAAUGCUGCUGCCUCACGUUGACACAAGAUCCCAACAAAGUAGCCAGAGUUGACUUCUUGGAGGACAUUUGGCCAGCUAUGAAGCCCCUCGGAGACACUGGAAUGACUAAAAGGAGAAAAGCUGGAUGUUGAUGUGGAACGGCCACAUCGAAAGGAAGAAUCCAUUUCCACGAAACAAUGUGAUCGCCUUCCUCCUUUCCCUUGAGGACAAUAGAGAUGAACAUGCUGGACUGAAAUGCUACUCUGAAUCUCUGUCAGGUGAGAUUAGCUGACAUCCCUGAGGCUUAUGUUAUAAUUAUCUUGUCCUGGACUGAUUGGAGCAAUUCCUGAUCUCAGAAAAUGGCCUCGUUACAGAGAUUUGGCAGGUGGAGGACCUCUUGAGCACACACGUGAGGAGAUUCUUCAAUCAGCCUCGGUGCAAAGGAUCAUUGGACGGGUGGCGAACUUGUGCUCUUUGCUUUUGUCUCUAAGGCAGUUAAUGUCACCAGGGUGUUAAGUUAGAAACUGCCCAGUCUCUGACUGGAAUCACUUGCAUCUCAAGGCGACUCUGUUCAGCUGUGGACAAACCGGCUGUGUGUUAAUGUGGGGCACACGUUAUGGAUUAACCGUUUCCUUUUGCACAUAUGUGGGUGUGACUAUCGAUUAGCGUGUGCUCACACUGAGCGUUGAAGACGGCUGUGUCAGACUGUGUGAGCGUCUGCAUGGAUUCUCCUCGCCAGUGACAGACCUGGACCAGAACAGCAGCGGGUGGAAGGGGGAAAGGGAGGCGAAGGAAAAGGAGAAGGAGCAAGAGGAGGUGACAAAAACACAAAGGACGGAGAGUGGGGAAACGCAACGAGGAUGCUCAAAUAAAGAGAAGAAACAAAGGAGUCUUUGGCUGCCACUCUGGUGCGAUGUGUGGCACUGUGCCCUCUGGUGGUGGGGUUCUGUGAUGGUAACCAUGAUACCCGGCAGCCACUAUGUCUGCAGCGCUCACACCAGAGAGGAUGACUCAACUAAUGACCGCGAAGAGCGAAUUUUAGCUGUGCUCGGCAUCAUUGGGACCAUCCUAAAUCUGCUGGUGGUUAUAUUCGUCUACAUCUACACCUCCGUCACCUGAGGGUUCCCACAGGACCUCGACGAAAGAUGCUGGUGCCAAAGCCUCCUCCUGCCGCUGCAUCCCCCCCUCUGGAAGUAGUCACGUACUUUUAGAGGGUUUUCUUCACUGGCUGUUGACAUGCAAAGUUUAGACAUCUGCAGGAAGUCUAACUCCAUUGCAGCAUGUAGGGCAACGAUGGGGCGUUAAACCAAAACUGUGUUCUCACAUUUUAUAACUAUUCACAUCUGUAAUACCCUAGUAAUCAAGGCGGAAAAACAGGUUUUUGUUCUGAAAUUUGACUGUGAGGCCUAAUCCUUGCUGUGGAAAUGCUAAGCUUUGAGCUUUUUUCUUUAUUUUUGAAAGAGUUGAGGUCAUCACUGCCACUGGAACUGCCAGCCAAUGUUACAAUCCCAUAUGAGCAACAGGAGAGCUUUUUACUAACUGGAGAAAAUUAUAAGAUAACACCAUUACUUCUGACCAAAAACUAAACCAGUAGCAGAACGCUUUGAGUCAAAUGGCACCUAAACAUCUCCUCAAACUGUACAUUUGUGUAAUUUAAGAAAGCAUAGCCAUUCCAAAAUAUCCAUUCCUUUUCAUUUUGUGGAGUUCAAGAAUUUAGUUGUACAUGGAACUGAUGUGUCCGCACCUGAGCACACCUGAGGAGAGAUUCCUGGCUCUGCUGGGAGUCAUUGGGAUUAUCUUAAACCUGCUACUGCUUAUCUUUGUGUAUAUUUACACCUCCUUUUGAUGGAGCUUUGUAAAUAUGUAUUUCAAGUCGUCUUCUUCUUAUGGCGGCUUAUGAGAUUACUUGCACAUCUUCAGAUCAUUAACAUUUUCAUAUUGCAACCACAAUUGUAAAAAAUAAAAAAAUAAAAAAAUUGCUUGGUUCAUAAGUAAUAUCAGGUGAAUUUUAAGUGGAACUGAGCUAAUAUGAAAGUGUUGGGUAUUUUAAUGAAAAAGCAAUGAUAUUAGUGAGUUUUAACAGGGAGACAACUUUCUUUGUUUGGACUUCUCUACAGUUUCGACCUAUUCUCUACAGUUUGUGUUUUUAUGAUCCAGAACUUCAUGUGUGCUCAGUAAACUGUCUACCUAUGUUUGCAUUGCCUCAGUGAAAUAUUUUUUCACAAAAUUGGACCAAAAUUGGUAUAAACACUAGCUUUCUAUUUCUUCUACAUGCUUACUUACACUGAAAUCAGAAAAAAAAAAAUGGAACAAAAUUCUGUUGGUGACUUGAUCCAUGCAGAAAACCUGCAUAUCAUUGAAGAUCACUCUGCUAAUGUCGGGUGCCACAGAGUGACGGGUAUUUUUAUGCUGUCACGUUUCUUUGAUUGGAUUAGAGACCCAGACAUGGAGGAGCGGCAUCGGAGAGAACAGGCCCUGAACUUGAGGCAAAGCUACUUGGAUUUAGACAGCAGACAGUUAUGGCUGACCUCAAACAGCUACUAUAACAAAGUCAAAGUGGAGCGGCGGACAAAAGGAGGACAGAAAAACGCUGUGAAGGAGUCCACUAUCUGUUGCAAAACCAACGAGGGGGUUAAGAACCCAUUUCACUAUGCCGGAGCGACGUACCUAAACAGAUGUGAAUUUAGGUUUAAGCAAAGCAUAUCUAAUGUGGAAGUGGACCCAAACACAGCUGACAGGAGAGCAGCACAGACCGGGCUGAAUCUGCACUUCAUCUUGGUCGUUCUUUUCUCCACCAACAAACUAACGCCUGAGAAAACAUAAAAACUCAUCCAUCCCUGCUGCUACUUUACAAAUUGUUGUUAAGGAAACAGAUACACUAAAAAAAAAAAAACCAACUGCCCAUGUAUCUAUGUGCAAUUUAACAUGUUGGCUCAUGUGGAAAAGUGUUAAGAUUUUUGAGUAAUUCUGUUAAAUUGUUGGCACGCAGUGUACCGUCUCUCUGCAAUUUCCCCUUUUGAGUUUCUCUGGUUUACAAAUCCAGAGACCAGAAUCCCAGCGUUGAACGAAGUUUGGACUGAAAGUGACAACAAUAUAUUUUUAUAAGGUGUUGAAGGUUCAUAUGGGAACACCAUAGACAAAGAACAUUACAGAUAUUCAUGUGAAUGUUUAGAACAUAUAGCUAACUUUAGUCCCCCCCAAAAAACUGAUGCAUCUAUUUUAUACAUUUGAAUUUUCAUAAUAUUCAGAGGUAAAUUUCAAAAGAAGUCUGGAAGAUCCUCAUAAACUGCCUGUGCCUCACUUGGAUUUACUUCUAUGAACUUGUGGUUGGUUGAUUACUUGUAUAAUUACUGCUGUUUGCUGCUCUGCUCAAUGUUAAAUUUGCAGCAGCAGAGUAACAAACAUAAAUGACAGAAAAACUAAAUUUUUCAUUUCACUUGUAAGCAUUUAAGGGUGAACAAUGCCUAAAAAACCUGACAUCAUGCAGUUAGAUCUUUACAUAAUAAUCGGCAUGAAUGCCCAAUUAAUUUAGGGCUUUCACUGAUUUUAUUUGAACAGUUACUUAACCAACCUGUAAUCUUACAUGUAAUUUUAGUGAUUUCUAAAAAUAAAGUUUGGGUGCGCAUGCACUAGAUUGAAUUCAUAAAUGUACUUCAGUAAAACAUCCGGAUGCGGCCUCUGGCAGAAUUUGUGUCAAUCUUUGUUCAUGAGGAAAUCAGGAACAAAUGAGACUUACGCCAAUCAAAGAUGUAGUGCUGAGCAAGAAAGAAGCCUCGUCUGCAAAAUACCUUAAAGCAUAAAAGCAAUUUGCAUCUGCCCACAUGGAUGAGCCAGAGGCCUAUUUGAGAAAAGCUUGAGAGACUAAAUGUGUAGAAUGAUCAAAGAGUUUCAAACCCUAAAACAACGUACCACCUCUCAAGCUUCAAACUGACGGUGUAGCUGACAGUGGUACUGAUGCAUUCCUUGAUUUUAGCUCAAAUCUUCACAAAGAUGAUUGAAACUAACACGGGAUGACAGUCCCAAAUGUGCAAUCACAAGGUUCUUUAUUGUUAAAGCCAGCCAACAUUAACCAUUUUGAAGUGCCCAGUUUUGAAUACUGUUAACAGUUAGUGGACUAUGUUCAAAGAAAACAUUUUAUUCAAAUUCUUUUUCAAAGUUAAAUGCUCAAAUAACCAGAAUUAUGCCAGACGUUUGUUUCAGAAUUCAAAAAACAACGUACUAAUGGACAUUUACCCAAAUAUUAGUGUGGAUGUACGUAGAAACAUUUAAACUUCUAUGUAUAAUUUCAACUCAAUGUGGAUUAUUGAACGUCAACCCCAAAGUCAGACUUGAGCUGUUAAUCCUUGGUUUCCUAUUGAAAUAAACAGAAAAUAAUACUCUAGGAAAAUCAACAAAACGAGCAUCACGUUCAUGCUGAUGAUGUGGAUAUAAACUGCUGAUUAGGGAAUUAAAAAUCAUAAUGCUUUGAAAUCAGUCCUUUGAAAUGAUAGCUAUAGAUAUGUUUAUGUUGAGAUUGCUUUACAAUAUGGAUUUAAGUUUUGUCUUAUACACUAGGAUAACUGUGGCUAAACCGAUUCACACUGAGAUUACCAGUUUUGCUUGGUCAAUAUACUGCCUUUAAAAAUAAGCUAAAAGUUCUCCACUACUCACUAAUGUUUCAGAGAUCAAUUAGACCAUCAGUAUAACUUUGAUCAACUGUUCAUCUUUUUAGAUCACUUUGUAAUAAAGUUCUUCUUUUCUAAAUGACAACAUAACGUUGGAACAACAUGCUUCCAAAAACAUUUACGCUUCCAAUAAUUAGCGUAAAGCAAUAGCAACCAAUCUACCUACUUAAAAGGAUCUUUCAAUAGACUUAAAAAACAACGUCUGCUUAAUUUUUAUAUCAAUACUCAUGUUUCACCUUGAGCACUUUGAACUUUCAGUACUUGAAUUAUCAAAAGAGAUGGGAAAUUCAGCCUAAAACUGACAUGCAGUAUGUAACAAAGUGAAGCACUCCACUCUAAAAAAUGAUGUAGCAAAAAUUAAUAAUUGCACCUUUAUAGUGUUGACUGAUAUUGGAUACAUAUCUGCAUAUUGAUCACUUUUAAAAGCUGAUCUAUUACCAUGGCUGCAUCCACGCUGUAUCAAAAUGCAGUUCAAGUUUCCCCUCGGGACCAGUUUCAAUGUGUGCUCUGUGGACCAAUAAGAGGAGAGAGCCCUGAGGGCGAAUCCUGACCAUCUGCUGCCCAAAUAGACAGACACCAUGUGCACACAGACACACACACACACAGCAUGGGUUUCUUUUUUACCCAACUGAAAUCCUCACUUGUCACUAUUUUUAUUUUUUUUUACUAUGCAUGAAACCUUUUUCUUAUGUACCUGAAAUUUAUCGGAAAACCUAGAAAGAAGUCAAAGUAAAAAGGAUGUAACCAAACUAAGCAAAGCCUUCUCUUGAUGCAUGACAUGAUUUUCAUUUUCAAAACAUUUUGACACUGACUGCAUGAGCGAAUUCAGACAACCAAGUUGUAUAAUAUUCAUUAAUGUUGAAAUCUGGCAAAAACAAGUGCCUGGUGGGGAAAAUUUGGCCAUAACAGAUUCCUUUUUAAAGUGAAUACUAUUUUCUGCAUUCAGCCUCACAUCUCCACCCAGAGGAAAAGCCUUGAUAUGCAUGACAAGUUUUUGUCAUCUUGUCAUUUUUCAUUUAAAUGCAAACUAUUUUAUUAGUUUAUCAGAAAUGGGAAAAAAAGAGGUAGAUAAUAUUAUCCAUUUGCCAAAGUUUUAUAUAACAAUCCGAUUUUUAAAGUGUUUUUCUGGUAAAGAUGAAAUAUGUCUGCAAUAACUACCCGAUUGUUCACGUUUGCUUUCGUGAGCAAGUGAUAAAAACUAAUCAGCAAAAAGGGGAAUUUAUCAGAUGACUUGACAACAUGACGCUGUUUUUUCACUAAGCUGACAAAGAACAAAUGUUUUGAGAUUUGAUGUACUUUCAUAUGUAAAGGUGUAAAUAUGUACAUGUAUAGUUACAGAGAUGUCCAUAAAAAUAAAAGUUAUUCUGUCAAAACA